CGUCGGCCUGAGGAGGGGCCGCUUCGCCAUGUCGCCCCGCACCUGCUGAGCCCGGAGCGUCCGAGGAUGUCCGCGCUGAGGAAGGCUUCCUCGCCAUCCGAGGCUUGGCCCUAGCCCUGCGCGGCUUCCCUUGCGGCUGCGAACCCUCUGCCUGCGCCCAGCCCAGCCACAAUGGGGACUGCUCAGGUUUUGCCUGGCAUUCUGCAGAAGCAUUGCUGUAUCUUACCAGACAGGAAUACAGGCAAUGCCAUGAGGCGUCAGAGGGAAUUCCAUUGGUUACUUUCCCAUACGGUCUUGUUCAGCUGCUUGUUCUCAGAAAAGUGUGUUUGUUGGUGGAGGAGAAUGUGACCAGGGAGACCAUCCUUUUCAUGAAGGCACAAACGUGAAUGCGUAUGUGGCUUUUAAGCCUUUAAAUAAAAACCCAAAACACA
Molecule: small RNA, 431 nt
Filed under: Pongo abelii (Sumatran orangutan)
Lineage: Eukaryota; Metazoa; Chordata; Mammalia; Primates; Hominidae
Description: processed transcript
Source: RNAcentral